UGGUUACUGUGUUGAAUAAUAAAUUAAGCUUCUGAUUAAUCCCUGUGAGACUCAUUGACUCCCUCCUGGCGCUAGUGUACAGAUGUUCCCAAGCAGCCCUCAGAAAGUGGUUUGAAUAGAACAAGUUAUAGGCAACACAAAGUUGGGAAUGAAAGGCAAUUAAAAUCUUGAGUAAUACCAAAACUUAAACUAUGAAACCUGUGGGUCUGGGCCAGUGAAUUUUAUAAUCCUGUGGCUGUGGCAGAGAAUUUGAGGAUGAUGCAUCCAGAUGAAAAUACAGAAGUUAUGGGUCCCAAUUUUCUCUCUCUCUCUGCAACAGAGGUACACCUUCAUGUACUUUGUCACCUGACUUUACAGGGCAUCCUACUACAGGGAGAGUACAAAUCCCACUCCAUUGACUUUGGGCCUUGGCCAUUCUUUGAUCCAGAGAAUGUGGUUGGAAGUCACAGUGUACCAGUUCUAAGCUAAGGCUCUUAGAAGCAUCCCAUCAUGGAUUUCCAUGAGCACUCUUGAAGCCAAGUUCUGCUGGCUUGCAGACCAAUGAGCAAAAACAACAUACAUUUGAUGUUGUAAGCAACUGAAAUUUUGGGGUUGUUUUUUAUAGAUUGUAAUCAUAGCAGAAAUAGAUGAUUCAUACUGAUGCUAACCAUGGGGGGGACCCCAAGUAUGAAAUUAUAUGCUUAAAAUUUCUGGUGGCUCCCCUUGUCUUCAAGAUAAAAUGGUACAAAACAUGGUUUUUUGCUUACCUCCUGGGGCUACAUCUUGUACUUUUCCACUUGCUCCCUUACUCAGCUGCAUUCAACUACUUGCUUUCAGAAGGCUCCAUGUUCUUUCAAACCUCUUUGCCUAUGCUGUGUGAUUGUUUUGCCUGAGAUGCCCUUUCCUUCUUCUAUUCUCCAAUUUGGUUCUUAACCAACCUCCUUAGAUCCUGUUCAUUUUCUGGUCUUAGCUUAGCUGUUGACUUCCCUGGGAAGUCCUUAAUGGUGGUGUGAGGGAUAAGAAUUGGCCACCCCAAAAUCUGUCUCUUUGGCUUGAUUAUUUUUAAGAACAAAAGACUCUGAAAAAACUUUGACCUUUCCCCUAACUGCCUGAAAGAAUUUAAGAUAGAAGGCCUGUCCCAGGAAGGAACUGAUAGCAUAAGAUAACUAUAGUAUAAUGUAAAGUCGGUGUGAUAGGAAGGUACCAACAAGCCCAUUUUUAUCAAAGUUUUGCCUACAGGUGGCUCUGCAAACACUUGUUUAACAAACACUUGCAUUUGCAUCUCCAUGUAAAUUGUCUUCCUCCCUUUUGAAGACCCAAACCACUACCACAACACCCUCCUUUUCAUUAGCCGAACAUGGUAUUUAAGGUGGCAGCUUUGGCUUUCCUGGGUUUCUCCCAUGUAUACAUGUUAUUAUAUUUUGUUUUAUUUUUUCCUGUUCUUCUGUCUCAUGUCGAUUUAAUUUUUGGACCAGCCCGAAGUAUCUAGAGGAGAGAGGAAUUGUCUUCCUCCUCUCCAGUUUGGUGAUGAAGGUGGAAUAAAACUUCACUGGCUGGACACUGCUUGCUCCUGGACUACUGCAACUAAGAGAUCCUGGAUCCCUGACAAGAGCUGGCAAGAGAUUUAAAAAGAGCAAUUCGACUUGGUGUGUCAACUGGUGAUGGAAAUCCCAGGAUGAGGGGAUUAAUCCCUGUGCUCUUGGAUCAAAAUAUGCAGGGUCAAGAGAAAAACGAAAGAGAGCCCAGGAUGUGACUCUUCCCAAUGCUGAGACAUACAGAGUGGAUUACAGCUGAGUGUUUUUGAACAAAGGCUUAAUAAACUUCAACCUCCGUGGUACCAAGUACUGAAGUCACAGUGAAAUACAGCAGUACAAAAACCCUCUUCUUCUUUUUCACCGUUUCUUGGCAUUUUGCCAUCACCAACCUCUGCCAUCGGAAUACCUCUAAAAUCUUUCACCAAUGCUGUUAUUGUGGUUAAAUGCUAUAAAACUCAGAGGCACAGAAUGAUUACAAUCACACAAAUCAAUGAGUAAAACACUAAAAACCUAAAAAAUUAAUGGACAAAGGGCAAAUGCAGAAAUUCACUUAUUGGUCAACAAACUUCAAAAAAUGUUUUAACUCUCUGGUAAUAAAAAUGCAAAUAAAGAAUUAAGAAACCAUUUUUUUUGUACAGAUAUCUAAGCAAUCCUUUUAGAAAAAAAGUGAUGUUCUCAAUGCUGGCAAGAUGUUGGUAUCAAUAUAAAUUGUUGUAUUUUUAUUGGAAACCAAUUAGUUUAUACCAACAGGGUGAAAAUAUUUAUACUAGUUUGAGCAAAUAGUUCCACUUUGGCAAAUUGACUUUAAGAACAUACUAUACCUGUUUGAAUAUAAAGUGAGGUUUAUCAUUGUCAGAGAAGAGAGAAUCCCCAUAAAAUGGAUUCCUUAUAAAAAUUACAAACAGCAAUAUUACAAUGCUUUCACGCAAUUAUUUUAUUUUGCACAAUUAAGUACAGUUUAGCGAAGACACAUUAACCUGGGAUGAUCUCAUUCAAUGCUGGUUCAUAGAUACUCAAGGAAGUCAGCUGAUGAGGUUAGUAAAAAGGUGACUAAGUAAUUUAACAAAACUUAGUAACUAUUCUUGCAAAUAUGUCUUUGAAAUUACAAAUAUUCAAUAUUGUUUAAAUAAAUCUUUUAAAGGAAA
Molecule: long non-coding RNA, 2659 nt
Organism: Equus asinus (donkey)
Lineage: Eukaryota; Metazoa; Chordata; Mammalia; Perissodactyla; Equidae
Source: Ensembl